This 806-nucleotide ribosomal RNA is filed under the name uncultured Bacteroidota bacterium. Its description in RNAcentral is "bacterial SSU rRNA". It matches the Rfam family "Bacterial small subunit ribosomal RNA", at positions 60 to 872 of the family's 1533-position model. Lineage: Bacteria; Pseudomonadati; Bacteroidota. The record is from RNAcentral.
AGUCGAGGGGUAUUUAUCUUCGGAUAGAGAGACCGGCGCACGGGUGCGUAACGCGUAUGCAAUCUACCUUUUACAGAGGGAUAGCCCAGAGAAAUUUGGAUUAAUACCUCAUAGUAUUAUGAAAUGGCAUCAUUUUAUAAUUAAAGUCACAACGGUAAAAGAUGAGCAUGCGUCCCAUUAGCUAGUUGGUAAGGUAACGGCUUACCAAGGCUACGAUGGGUAGGGGUCCUGAGAGGGAGAUCCCCCACACUGGUACUGAGACACGGACCAGACUCCUACGGGAGGCAGCAGUGAGGAAUAUUGGACAAUGGGCGCAAGCCUGAUCCAGCCAUGCCGCGUGCAGGAUGACGGUCCUAUGGAUUGUAAACUGCUUUUAUACGAGAAGAAACACUCCAACGUGUUGGAGCUUGACGGUAUCGUAAGAAUAAGGAUCGGCUAACUCCGUGCCAGCAGCCGCGGUAAUACGGAGGAUCCAAGCGUUAUCCGGAAUCAUUGGGUUUAAAGGGUCCGUAGGCGGUUUAGUAAGUCAGUGGUGAAAGCCCAUCGCUCAACGGUGGAACGGCCAUUGAUACUGCUGAACUUGAAUUAUUAGGAAGUAACUAGAAUAUGUAGUGUAGCGGUGAAAUGCUUAGAGAUUACAUGGAAUACCAAUUGCGAAGGCAGGUUACUACUAAUGGAUUGACGCUGAUGGACGAAAGCGUGGGUAGCGAACAGGAUUAGAUACCCUGGUAGUCCACGCCGUANACGAUGGAUACUAGCUGUUGGGAGCAAUCUCAGUGGCUAAGCGAAAGUGAUAAGUAUCCCAC